Molecule: non-coding RNA, 23 nt
Filed under: Cricetulus griseus (Chinese hamster)
Lineage: Eukaryota; Metazoa; Chordata; Mammalia; Rodentia; Cricetidae
Source: RNAcentral
AGAAGGGCUGGCUUUGUGGCAGA